CAAUGGAAAUAACUCAAAAGAUGCCAACUUCGAAUAAGAGGACUUACCUUUCAUGCCUCCCACCACCGCUCUGCGCACCACCUGCCUUCCAGGUAUGCCCCGGAAUCUAUGUUCCCAGAGGUAUCCGUGAACAACUCGAUACCACCCGCAAAGGCUCCACAAGUAGCCUUCUCCAUGAAAUGGCUACCGACCCAGUCCUCGCGACUAACCCGACAUGCAACUUGAAACUGCCUUAUGAACAACUGCAAUUUCUCAGUGACCUUCUUGGACCUGCGAACCUUCAGCCUGAACUCCCGAAGUGCAGUCAACUGAACCCCAGGCAAUCGAC
This is a non-coding RNA of Pelobates cultripes (western spadefoot toad), 328 nucleotides long. The record is from the annotation of a GenBank genome assembly. Lineage: Eukaryota; Metazoa; Chordata; Amphibia; Anura; Pelobatidae.